This is a long non-coding RNA of Drosophila navojoa, 105 nucleotides long. Lineage: Eukaryota; Metazoa; Arthropoda; Insecta; Diptera; Drosophilidae. The record is from RefSeq and is a predicted model, not a curated record.
AGCCGAUGCGGUGGCAAAAGCCACAGCGCAGAGCGCCAAGACAAAAAGUGCACUUCUCUGUGGAAGAGCGAAACAGAAAUAAAUCGAGUUAAUACAGCAAAAGAA